AACCUUACCUACUCUUGACAUCCAGAGAACUUUGCAGAGAUGGAUUGGUGCCUUCGGGAACUCUGAGACAGGUGCUGCAUGGCUGUCGUCAGCUCGUGUUGUGAAAUGUUGGGUUAAGUCCCGCAACGAGCGCAACCCUUAUCCUUUGUUGCCAGCGGUUAGGCCGGGAACUCAAAGGAGACUGCCAGUGAUAAACUGGAGGAAGGUGGGGAUGACGUCAAGUCAUCAUGGCCCUUACGAGUAGGGCUACACACGUGCUACAAUGGCGCAUACAAAGAGAAGCGACCUCGCGAGAGCAAGCGGACCUCAUAAAGUGCGUCGUAGUCCGGAUUGGAGUCUGCAACUUCGACUCCAUGAAGUCGGAAUCGCUAGUAAUCGUAGAUCAGAAUGCUACGGUGAAUA
Molecule: ribosomal RNA, 402 nt
Filed under: Cedecea sp. JC30
Lineage: Bacteria; Pseudomonadati; Pseudomonadota; Gammaproteobacteria; Enterobacterales; Enterobacteriaceae
Description: bacterial SSU rRNA
Rfam family: Bacterial small subunit ribosomal RNA
Source: RNAcentral